This 253-nucleotide ribosomal RNA is filed under the name uncultured Acidobacteriota bacterium. RNAcentral's name for it is "uncultured Acidobacteria bacterium partial 16S ribosomal RNA". It matches the Rfam family "Bacterial small subunit ribosomal RNA", at positions 524 to 776 of the family's 1533-position model. Lineage: Bacteria; Pseudomonadati; Acidobacteriota. The record is from RNAcentral.
GACGUAGGGGGCCAGCGUUGUUCGGAAUUACUGGGUGUAAAGGGUUCGUAGGCGGUGUGGCAAGUCGGGAGUGAAAUUUCUGGGCUUAACCCAGAAGCUGCUUCCGAAACUGCUGUGCUAGAGUGCGGGAGAGGCGCGUGGAAUUGCAGGUGUAGCGGUGAAAUGCGUAGAUAUCUGCAGGAACACCCGUGGCGAAAGCGGCGCGCUGGACCGUUACUGACGCUGAGGAACGAAAGCUAGGGGAGCAAACAGG